Molecule: long non-coding RNA, 1528 nt
Filed under: Equus caballus (horse)
Lineage: Eukaryota; Metazoa; Chordata; Mammalia; Perissodactyla; Equidae
Description: lncRNA (ENSECAG00000043068.2)
Source: RNAcentral
GUUCCAUGAUGAGGGCGUGGGGUUCUAAUCUCCAAGUCACUCCCAGUGCUCAGUUGCCUGAGAGUAGAACUGUAUUUGAGAUAUGGAAACUCCUAUCUUAUAUAUAAAAAGCAUUGUUGUUACCUGGCUGAGCUCCAGUUCUGCUUCCUGGGUGAUUGGGACCAUCCUCCGCAUCCUGUAUGGACUGGGGCUCUUCCUCCUGUUCCUUCCCUCCCUCCAGAGGAAUUUGCCCUUACAACCACCUUACAAAAGGAGAAACGUCAGGAAGCAUCAAGUGGAGCCAAGAGGGAGGAGAAAGGAGCAGGAAGAAAAGGGGAGCUUUGAAAGAAUACAGAGCUGGCUGGAAGGACCUGGCAGAAUUGGGCGGUCUGAUGUCCCUUUCACAAAGCUACCUGGGGAGGCUGUCUUGUAAGGGAUGCUUCCAUCGCUUGUCAUCUCAAGACUCCGCUGGCGAAGCAUGCGAGACAGCGUCUGCUAGAGUCCACCAGCCAUGUGGGAAGCCUGUGGAAGGUGCUCCUCUCACCACGAAUCCAGCACUUUCCCUGGCUCUUCUGACCCAGCACACUCUACCUUUGGCCUCCAUUCUGCCUGCAGAACCUCCAUCUGCCUUGACCAUAACUCCACUAGGCCCUGUUGCCACGAGCUCAGCUCCAGCUCACUCCUCUUUCCCAUCUACCAACUCAGGCCAUGGCCGCACGAGCUGUCGCAUUGAGUUCCUCAGCAAAUCUAUGAAUUAUCCAUUUGUUGGUUUGAGUCAAGGGUGGAGGAAAUGUCCUGUAGAAAGUUCCAAGCAUGCCAGGUCUUCAUUUUCUUACUGGACAUGGGCUAGUUUAGGAGCAUCGUGUGAUGGAGCAUAAAGGGUGGACUUUGAGUACAACCAGGUCUGGGGCUGAACACAAGAUUAGCCAUUCGUGAACUGCCUGACCUAAGACAUGUUCUUAAUCAUUCUGAAUUUCAGUUUCUCAAUCUGGGUAAAGAGAAUAAUAAGAUUUACCAGUAGGAGUUAUAGGAUUUAGUUUCUUUUCUGGUUCUGUCAUCUACUCUGUAAUUUUGGCAAGUCAUGUGACCUCUUCAGGCCUACUUAUCUUUGAGUGAAAAUGAAGGUCUUAGUGGUUCUCCACAGGAAUAUGAUUUUCUCCCAUCCGGGGGCAUCUGGAAGUGUGUGUGUUCUUGAUUGUCAUGAAACUAAGGGAAUCAAGAACGUAAAGUGCCCUGUAAGGGGGAGGACAGUCCCAUACAACAGAGAAUUGUUCCAUCAGAAAAUCAACGUAGCCCUGUUGUGAAACCCAAUUAGAUCAUCUCUGAAGUCCUUGUCACCUUAACAUUUCAUCAUUUUACUCUAUGUCAUUGUUUCCUUACAAUUACGAAGGAUGAAGUAGAUAAUUAAAUGCUAUGAGCCACCCUGCCACACAUGAGCAUGUUUAUCAAAACGAAGGAUGGUGGAAUAAAGAACUGGCUUUUUUUGGGUUGGAGUAAAGGGCUCAAGGCAAGUCUCAGAGCGUGUGAGACAGAAGCUUCCCUGGAAAUA